Molecule: long non-coding RNA, 558 nt
Organism: Oncorhynchus tshawytscha (Chinook salmon)
Lineage: Eukaryota; Metazoa; Chordata; Actinopteri; Salmoniformes; Salmonidae
Source: Ensembl
GAGGGGUGGAGGUCUAGUGGAGGGGUGAAGGUCUAGUGGAGGGGUGAAGGUCUAGUGGAGGGGUGAAAAUGUAGUGGAGGGGUGAAGGUCUAGAGGGGGGGGUGAAGAUCUAGUGGAGGGGUGGAGGUCUAGUGGAGGGAUGAAGGUCUAGAGGGGGUGAAGAUCUAGUGGAGGGGUGGAGGUCUAGUGGAGGGGUGAAGGUCUAGUGGAGGGGUGAAGGUCUAGUGGAGGGGUGAAGGUCUAGUUUCACAGACUGGUCUAGUGGAGGGGUGAAGAUCUAGUUUCACAGACUGGUCUAGUGGAGGGGUGAAGAUCUAGUGGAGGGGUGAAGGUCUAGUGGAGGGGUGAAGGUCUAGUGGAGGGGUGAAGAUCUAGUGGAGGGGUGAAGGUCUAGAGGAGGGGUGAAGGUCUAGUUUCACAGACUGGUCUAGUGGAGGGGUGAAGGUCUAGUAGAGGGGUGAAGGUCUAGUUUCACAGACAGUUCUAGUGGAGGGGUGAAGGUCUAGUGGAGGGGUGAAGGUCUAGUGGAGGGGUGAAGGUCUAGUUUCACAGACUGGU